This 238-nucleotide ribosomal RNA is filed under the name uncultured bacterium. RNAcentral's name for it is "partial 16S ribosomal RNA". It matches the Rfam family "Bacterial small subunit ribosomal RNA", at positions 96 to 334 of the family's 1533-position model. The record is from RNAcentral.
UGGCGGACGGGUGAGUAACGCGUGGGUAACCUGCCUCAUACAGGGGGAUAACAGUUAGAAAUGACUGCUAAUACCGCAUAAGACCACAGCACCGCAUGGUGCAGGGGUAAAAACUCCGGUGGUAUGAGAUGGACCCGCGUCUGAUUAGGUAGUUGGUGGGGUAACGGCCUACCAAGCCGACGAUCAGUAGCCGACCUGAGAGGGUGACCGGCCACAUUGGGACUGAGACACAGCCCAA